Pseudoliparis swirei is the source of this 1403-nucleotide long non-coding RNA. RefSeq lists it as uncharacterized. The transcript has 2 exons. NCBI's taxonomy places the organism in Eukaryota, Metazoa, Chordata, Actinopteri, Perciformes, Liparidae. The record is from RefSeq and is a predicted model, not a curated record.
GGCCCUUCCUGACCCUUCAUGGCCCUUCCUGACCCUGCAUGGCCCUUCCUGACCCUUCCUGACCCUUCAUGGCCCUUCCUGACCCUUCAUGACCCUUCAUGGCCCUUCCUGACCCUUCAUGGCCCUUCAUGACCCUUCCUGACCCUGCAUGGCCCUUCAUGGCCCUUCCUGACCCUUCAUGACCCUUCAUGGCCCUUCCUGACCCUUCAUGACCCUUCAUGGCCCUUCCUGACCCUUCAUGGCCCUUCAUGACCCUUCCUGACCCUGCAUGGCCCUUCAUGACCCUUCAUGGCCCUUCCUGACCCUUCAUGGCCCUUCCUGACCCUUCAUGACCCUUCCUGGCCCUUCAUGACCCUUCAUGGCCCUUCCUGACCCUUCAUGGCCCUUCCUGGCUCUUCAUGACCCUUCAUGCCUCCUGUGGUUCUUUGUGCGACACGUGUACAAACUAUUUUUUGAUACUUAUUUUUGCUAAAUUAGUAUUUAAAUUAGAGUGAUCUAAAUAUGUACACAAGAGGUAUGUAAGUACACUAUGUACUGUAUAUAAGUACACAAGAGGUAUAUAAGUACACUAUGCACUGUAUAUAAGUACACAGGAGGUAUAUAAGUACACUAUGUACUGUAUAUAAGUACACAGGAGGUAUAUAAGUACACAAUAGGUAUAUAAGUACACUAUGUACUGUAUAUAAGUACACAAGAGGUAUAUAAGUACACUAUGUACUGUAUAUAAGUACACUAUGCACUGUAUAUAAGUACACAGGAGGUAUAUAAGUACACUAUGUACUGUAUAUAAGUACACAGGAGGUAUAUAAGUACACAAGAGGUAUAUAAGUACACUAUGUACUGUAUAUAAGUACACUAUGCACUGUAUAUAAGUACACAGGAGGUAUAUAAGUACACUAUGUACUGUAUAUAAGUACACAGGAGGUAUAUAAGUACACUAUGUACUGUAUAUAAGUACACAGGAGGUAUAUAAGUACACAGGAGGUAUAUAAGUACACUAUGUACUGUAUAUAAGUACACAAGAGGUAUAUAAGUACACAGGAGGUAUAUAAGUAUACUAUGUACUGUAUAUAAGUACACAAGAGGUAUAUAAGUACACUAUGUACUGUAUAUAAGUACACAAGAGGUAUAUAAGUAUACUAUAUACUGUAUAUAAGUACACAGGUAUAUAAGUACACAGGAGCAGAUAUUCAACCAAAGUCUUUGUACAGAUUUAAACCGCAAAUAUUUCAAAAGCAAAAGAUCCUGUUUGAAAUGUUUAUGAAACAUUAUUUUCUCUUCAUGUUGGCAUGCGCCGUUAAAUAAGGGGAGGAGUCAGAGUGAGUGUGUGUGUGUGUGUCUGUGUGAGUGUGUGUCUGUGUAUAUUAUUUGUUUAACCAUUAAAUAUCUACGAUGUUACACUA